This 494-nucleotide ribosomal RNA is filed under the name uncultured bacterium. RNAcentral describes it as "partial 16S ribosomal RNA". It matches the Rfam family "Bacterial small subunit ribosomal RNA", at positions 356 to 853 of the family's 1533-position model. The record is from RNAcentral.
UGGGGAUUGUUCGAGCAAGGCGAACCGCAAUGCCGCGUGUGUGAAGAAGGCCUUCGGGUUGUAAAGCACUUUUGUCCGGAAAGAAAUCCUUGGCUCUAAUACAGUCGGGGGAUGACGGUACCGGAAGAAUAAGCACCGGCUAACUACGUGCCAGCAGCCGCGGUAAUACGUAGGGUGCAAGCGUUAAUCGGAAUUACUGGGCGUAAAGCGUGCGCAGGCGGUUUGCUAAGACCGAUGUGAAAUCCCCGGGCUCAACCUGGGAACUGCAUUGGUGACUGGCAGGCUAGAGUAUGGCAGAGGGGGGUAGAAUUCCACGUGUAGCAGUGAAAUGCGUAGAGAUGUGGAGGAAUACCGAUGGCGAAGGCAGCCCCCUGGGCCAAUACUGACGCUCAUGCACGAAAGCGUGGGGAGCAAACAGGAUUAGAUACCCUGGUAGUCCACGCCCUAAACGAUGUCACUAGUUGUUGGGGAUUCAUUUCCUUAGUAACGUAGCU